UCAUUUCUCAGCCUUUUGGCUAAGAUCAAGUAUGG
RNAcentral lists this small nuclear RNA (35 nucleotides) under Cervus elaphus hippelaphus. Lineage: Eukaryota; Metazoa; Chordata; Mammalia; Artiodactyla; Cervidae. The record is from RNAcentral.